Oncorhynchus tshawytscha (Chinook salmon) is the source of this 924-nucleotide long non-coding RNA. RefSeq lists it as uncharacterized. Lineage: Eukaryota; Metazoa; Chordata; Actinopteri; Salmoniformes; Salmonidae. The record is from RefSeq and is a predicted model, not a curated record. The transcript is spliced from 3 exons.
CAGUUGCGCACCAGUGACAAAUAAGGCUGCUCGCCAGAAACCCAAGUGCUGUAGCUAAGCUACUCUGUUGCACUGGCUGUGAAAAGUACCAAUCCUCAGCAGACCAGGGCUUCAAAGCAGGUGUUCGUGAAAUCGGCAGCAUCCUCUUCACAUUCCUCAUCAGCAUCUUCUGGUACCAGACAACAUCUGGUUGGCCUGGGCUGUGAGUGGGCUGUGUGUGAUGCUAGCCAUGUUCCUGGGAGCUCCUACCUAUCUCAUGAACGUAGAUGGUCAUAUGGAUAACUAUACGCAAGACGGAGGCUGCCCUCCAGACUUCAUCCAGUGGCCCAAGGAGAACUGCCCGACCAUUAACGGUGUCUUCAGGUGCUGCUGGUUCAGAGGAGGGUGGUGGUGCCAGCGCUGAGUGCAGCAGGGGCGCCAGUGGAGCAGCCUCCCAGGAAGAAGGUCUCUACCUGGGGAUCGAAAGGAACACAGUGGGCAUCCUGGCUGCCAUGGGGGUGUUCCAGGUGGAAUGGAUCCUUCAGUCCCUACGACUUCCCCUUUUGGACCGAGGUGGAGUUCUUCAUCACAACGUCCUAUAUCACAAUCAGCCCUUAUGUGUAUGGGAUAGGGAGUAACCUGUUUUCUGUGAAACACUUUAAGAAGUAAUGGAAGAAAGACUUUUUAGGCCUUAGGUGUCAGGUGUAAGCAAUUUUCUGUGCAGUAUGAUUAUGGGAUAAGGGAAUAACCUCUUCUCUGAAACAUGUAACAAAGUAAUUGUGGUAUAUUUAUAAACCCUCUGUGUUAGAUGUAGGUGAUUCUCUAUUUUCUCUGAAGUAAUUUUAAGAAGUCAAAGCACGGUUUUUAGACGUAAACUACCGGUCAAACGUUUUAGAAAUCCUACUCAUUCCAGGGUUUUUCUUUAUCUUUUACUAUUUUCUACAU